AAGCUACCUUCUGUUAAAAAACCGGGCAAGUGCGAGUCGGACUCGCGCACGAAGGGUUCCGUACCAUAAUGCAAAAAAAAAAACAUAAAAAACGGUCACCCAUCCAAGUACUGACCCCUCCCGACAUUGCUUAACUUUGGUCAAAAAUCACGUUUGUUGUAUGGGAGACCCAUUUAAAUCUUUAUUUUAUUCUGUUUUUAGUAUUUGUUGUCAUAGCGGCAACAGAAAUACAUCAUCUGUGAAAAUUUCAACUGUCUAGCUAUCACGGUUCGUGAGAUACAGCCUGGUGACAGACGAACGGACGGACGGUCGGACAGCGAAGUCUUAGUAAUAGGGUCCCGUUUUACCCUUUGGGUACGGAACCCUAAAAAUUAGCGCAUCUACCUCGCUAACCGCCCGAGUUAAGUUUUAAAGUAGUUUAAUAUACCAAUUAAAUUACCUGAUCUUAUUUUUAAAAUUAGUUUAUUUAAGAAUUUACCCCAAAUUUAUCUUACGAGCGACUAGCUCAAACGUUACACCUAAUCGAUUGCUUUCAUAGUUUGAACAAUGAGCAAAAGUAUUAAAAACGCACAAAAUAAUGCCAGUCUUACCUAUGGAGUCCCC
This is a long non-coding RNA of Cydia fagiglandana, 603 nucleotides long. RefSeq lists it as uncharacterized. Lineage: Eukaryota; Metazoa; Arthropoda; Insecta; Lepidoptera; Tortricidae. The transcript has 2 exons. The record is from RefSeq and is a predicted model, not a curated record.